This 688-nucleotide long non-coding RNA is filed under the name Salvator merianae (Argentine black and white tegu). Its description in RNAcentral is "lncRNA (ENSSMRG00000010743.1)". Lineage: Eukaryota; Metazoa; Chordata; Lepidosauria; Squamata; Teiidae. The record is from RNAcentral.
AUGGAGCCUGGCGGCGGCGAAAGCAACAGCCCCGGCAGNUUCGACACCGUGAGCGGCGGCGGCCACGCGCCCCGUUAUUCCUCCUUUCCCCGCUAUGGANUUCGGGAAGGGGAGGCCGCCGAAGCUGAUGCCGACGCCCCUCUCGAGCCGCCCCCUCAAUGCUGGAGGAAGGGCCUCUCAGAAAGCGCCCCGCCUCGGGGACCUGUCCGCCGAGCCGUUGUCGUCCCCAGCGCAAAUCUCAAGAAUCUCCUAGAGAGAGAUUUAUCAAAAGAGCGUCAUGAGUUACUAAAGGAUCAAAGACUAUUUCGUAAUCGAGCACGAAAACAUUUUAUAGAAACAAAUAAAAGAAGGAGAUCACUCAAAAUGAAGAGGAAAGAGAAUUGGCUGUUUGUGGAUCUCUGUUGCUUAGAAUACCAAUACCACUAAAACUUUUGCUGUGAGUCUCCUUUUUUUGGACAACUAUCAUGGACUUACAGAGGGGUUUCCUUAUUUUCAUCUUGGUUGAAGUUCCACAAAGGUACCUAUAAAUAACUCACAGAUUAUAUUUAAAAACUGGUAUGUUAGGACAGCAGCUUUCAUAUCAGAUCAUUUAUCCCCCAGGCCAAAUGACAGAAGAACCAAGGCUCAGAUACAGUUAAAAAGAUUAUUUGGUCAAUAAAUGUACAGUUUCUGCAUCUAAAACUCUGCA